UAUCGACUCUCUUCCUUGCCAUUCCAAAACAGACGAAGAUGGCGGAUACUGAAGAACGCCAGCGCCUUUUGGAUGAGGACGGGGAUAUCCCCUCUUCACGUCCCAUAAAUGAAAGUGGACCCGGCAGGCCGAUGUCUGCGCUCUGCGACCCAAGUCGGCUGCUUCAUCGCUUAGUCGUUCUCGCCUUUAUGUGCUUUUUGGGUUUCGGAAGUUACUUCUGUUAUGAUAACCCAGCUGCACUACAGACUCAAGUCAUACAGGACAUGAAUCUGAACACGUCUAUGUUCAUGCAACUUUACGCCUGGUAUUCAUGGCCCAACGUGGUGCUCUGUUUCCUGGGGGGCUUCCUGCUGGACAGGGUUUUUGGCAUCAGGCUUGGAACGAUCAUCUUCGCCCUGUUUGUCUGCAUUGGACAGGUCAUAUUUGCUGCUGGGGCGUUAUUAGAUCGCUUCUGGUUAAUGGAGGUCGGACGGUUUGUGUUUGGGAUCGGAGGUGAGUCGCUGGCUGUGGCUCAGAACACUUAUGCGGUGAACUGGUUCAAAGGGAAGGAGCUGAACUUGGUGUUUGGGCUUCAGCUCAGCAUGGCCAGGCUGGGCAGCACGGUCAACAUGAACAUCAUGGGCUGGGUCUACAACCGGGUGGCUGUCCUCGUAGGCUCCGUAGGACACACUACUCUGGGGGUCUCGCUCAUGAUUGCUGGGGCUACCUGUAUAUUCUCCCUGAUCUGUGCUCUGGUGUUGGGCUACCUGGACAAAAGGGCAGAGAGAAUCCUCCACAAGGAACACCGGGGAACUGGGGAGGUGAUCAAGCUGACGGAUGUGAAGGACUUCCCUUUCCCACUGUGGCUGAUCUUCAUAAUCUGUGUGGGCUACUACGUGGCCAUCUUCCCGUUCAUUGGACUCGGACAGGUGUUCUUCAUUGAAAAGUUUAAUUUCUCACCUGCUGAAGCAAGAGCAAUCAACAGUAUCGUGUACAUCAUCUCUGCCCCAGCCUCUCCUGUGUUGGGCUUCAUGGUGGAUAAGAUAGGGAGGAAUGUCAUCUGGGUGAUAUGUGCUGUCUUCGCCACGCUCAUGGCCCACAUGAUGCUCGCUUUCACCUUCUGGAACCCCUGGAUCGCAAUGUCUCUGCUGGGUGUUUCUUACUCGCUGCUGGCCUGUGCGUUGUGGCCUAUGGUGGCCUUUGUGGUGCCAGAGCAUCAACUGGGGACAGCAUAUGGCUUCAUGCAAUCCAUCCAGAACUUGGGCCUAGCUCUGAUUGCUAUGGCAGCCGGAUCAAUUCUGGACCAAAGGGGAUACCUCUUCCUGGAGGUUUUCUUCAGUGCUUGUGUCUGCAUUGCAUUGAUUGCGGUAGUGAUGCUGUACUUUGUGGAUUAUCUCAGAGGAGGUGAUCUGAACCUCUCUGCCUCUGCCAGGGCAAAACUACAUCUUAAGAAUUCAGACUCUGAGUGAGAAGGCAUGUAGUCCUUGGCCUCAGCUGGCUGCACUGACCUGACCUGACCAGAGCUAUAAAUCACCCACCAGGGGGCACCACUGACUCCUCCCAUCUACACCCAGCCCUGCAUUGUUACUGACCCCUUUUACAAACAUACUGACCCAUGGCAGCUCAGAUGCUGACCCCUCUACUCUGACAUCACAGACUCUGCCUCCUGGUUCAGCUGCCUCUUACUUGUUCUUCCACCUCACCAAGCUCAGAAUAUUUCAUUUUUGUAAUGUCAGUAGAGUGGGGUACAAGGAGCGCAUUUUACAGACUUUUUAAAGUGUUUUCAGAAGCUCCCACAUCACCGCUAUACCCUCCUGUUCUCACUGGCACACAGAAGUGUACUGAUGCGACCUACUCUGCACUUCACCCUACAGACAGUUCUCGUCUGUUAGGGAGCUAUCUACUUCAGUGCCUUUUGAUUUCUGAGUUUCUAAGCAAAUCGCUUCAUAAUAAUUGAUAGUGAUAUGACUGUGGUAGAGCUUCUAUUGUUAUAUGAGCUGUGUGUGUGUCUUCUUGGUGCAUAAACCUGAAGUGUUAACUGUGUCAACAACAGAGGGCACCAUUUAUCCAAGAUACAAUGUAAAAGUCAAUAUUAGUCUGUGAUUUGAAUGGACUGCAGAUGCAGAGGAGAGAAUGUUUCCUUCAUGACUGAAUACAACCAUCACCUUUAUUAUGUUCAAUAUUGUGUUAUCUGAGAAAUGACUUUGUAAAUUGCAAUAUAUGUGUGUUAUUGUCAGUAAUAUAUUAAAGUUGUUUGACUUAGUAUUGUUACAUGAGGUCUGUGUAUUGUUGUUUGUGAAAAGAAGAUAUUUGGUUACAAAAAUGUGUAUGCAGUCUUUUUUUGUAAAACCCCUUGAAUACAAGAAUCAGACUUCACUGCUGAGGGCUAGAGUACAGCCCAGUGAAGGCUUACAACAGGUUCCCAACCUAUGGGGUAUACUCCCGAAAUUGUGCGUUUGUCCUAUCCUGUAGAUCAGUGGUGUCAAAACAGUUCCACAAAGGCAGAGUGUCUGCAGGUUUUAGUUUUUACCUAUAAAUGGGUUCCCGGUUCAGAUCUGAACAACCAGGUGAGGGUAGAAACUAACCAGUUAGUGACCUAAGUAAUCAAGUACAAUGUGAGAGCAAGAACCCGCAGAGACUUGGCCCUCCAUGGAACUGUUUUGACACCUCUGCUGUAUAUAGAAACACUACUGUUCAAAAAUGCUGGCUCACUUAGAAAAUGAAUAGGAAAAUUUGUUAGAAAUAAUGAUUUUUAACUGAAAUAAUAAUUGUGUCUUUCAAACUUUGUCAAAGAAUUCUCCAUUUGAUGUAAUUACAGCCUUGCAGACCUUUGCCAUUGUAGUUGUCAAUUUGUUGUGUUAAUCUGAAGCACCUCCCACAUGUUGGAUUGGCUUGAUGGGCACUUCUUAUGUACCAUACAGUCAUGCUGCUCCCACAACAGCUCAUCUUUUCUUUUGAUCUGUGUCUCACGAAUGUUCUUUAUAAUCUGAACACCUCAAACCUAGAUUUAUCUACUUUUAACACUUUUCUCCAAUCUUCCUCUGUGUACUUUUGCCCAUCUUAAUCUUUUAUUUUCAUUGGCCCGUCUGAAAUAAAUUUUUCUUUGCAUCCUG
Molecule: RNA transcript, 3092 nt
Organism: Esox lucius (northern pike)
Lineage: Eukaryota; Metazoa; Chordata; Actinopteri; Esociformes; Esocidae
Gene: mfsd1
Gene name: major facilitator superfamily domain containing 1
Exons: 17
Source: RefSeq, a predicted model, not a curated record